RNAcentral lists this ribosomal RNA (908 nucleotides) under uncultured marine archaeon. RNAcentral describes it as "bacterial SSU rRNA". It matches the Rfam family "Archaeal small subunit ribosomal RNA", at positions 8 to 922 of the family's 1478-position model. The record is from RNAcentral.
UUGAUCCUGCCGGACCUGACUGCUAUCGGAUUGAUACUAAGCCAUGCGAGUCUUUGCAGUAAUGCAAGGCAUACGGCUCAGUAACACGUAGUCAACUUACCCUAUGGACGAGGAUAAUCUCGGGAAACUGAGCAUAAUACUCGAUAGAUCAUAAUGCCUGGAAUGGUUUAUGGUUAAAAUGAUUCGUCGCCAUAGGAUGGGACUGCGGCCUAUCAGCUUGUUGGUGAGGUAAUGGCCCACCAAGGCGAUUACAGGUACGGGCUCUGAGAGGAGAAGCCCGGAGAUGGGUACUGAGACAAGGACCCAGGCCCUAUGGGGCGCAGCAGGCGAGAAAACUUUGCAAUGUGCGAAAGCACGACAAGGUUAAUCCGAGUGAUUUCUGCUAAAGAAAUCUUUUGCAAGUCAUAAAACCACUAGUGAAUAAGGGGUGGGCAAGUUCUGGUGUCAGCCGCCGCGGUAAAACCAGCACCUCAAGUGGUCAGGAGGAUUAUUGGGCCUAAAGCAUCCGUAGCCGGCUCUGUAAGUUUUCGGUUAAAUCCAUGUGCUCAACACAUGGGCUGCCGAAAAUACUGCAUAGCUAGGGAGUGGGAGAGGUAGACGGUACUCGGUAGGAAGGGGUAAAAUCCUUUGAUCUAUCGAUGACCACCUGUGGCGAAGGCGGUCUACCAGAACACGUUCGACGGUGAGGGAUGAAAGCUGGGGGAGCAAACCGGAUUAGAUACCCGGGUAGUCCCAGCUGUAAACGAUGCAGACUCGAUGAUGCAUUGGCAUAUAGCCAGUGCAGUGUCGCAGGGAAGCCGUUAAGUCUGCCGCCUGGGAAGUACGUACGCAAGUAUGAAACUUAAAGGAAUUGGCGGGGGAGCACCACAAGGGGUGAAGCCUGCGGUUCAAUUGGAUUCAACGCCGGA